CUACGGGGGGCUGCAGUGGGGAAUAUUGCACAAUGGAGGAAACUCUGAUGCAGCGACGCCGCGUGGAGGAUGACACUUUUCGGAGCGUAAACUCCUUUUAUAUAGGAAGAAGAUGACGGUACUAUAUGAAUAAGCGCCGGCUAACUCCGUGCCAGCAGCCGCGGUAAUACGGAGGGCGCAAGCGUUACUCGGAAUCACUGGGCGUAAAGAGCGUGUAGGCGGAUUAAAAAGUCAGAAGUGAAAUCCUAUAGCUUAACUAUAGAACUGCUUCUGAAACUCUUAAUCUAGAAUAUGGGAGAGGUAGAUGGAAUUUCUGGUGUAGGGGUAAUAUCCGUAGAGAUCAGAAGGAAUACCGAUUGCGAAGGCGAUCUACUAGAACAUUAUUGACGCUGAGACGCGAAAGCGUGGGGAGCAAACAGGAUUAGAUACCCCCGUAGUC
This 439-nucleotide ribosomal RNA is filed under the name uncultured bacterium. RNAcentral's name for it is "partial 16S ribosomal RNA". It matches the Rfam family "Bacterial small subunit ribosomal RNA", at positions 339 to 795 of the family's 1533-position model. The record is from RNAcentral.